This 383-nucleotide ribosomal RNA is filed under the name Pseudomonas sp. Nfb2AD. Its description in RNAcentral is "bacterial SSU rRNA". It matches the Rfam family "Bacterial small subunit ribosomal RNA", at positions 1017 to 1363 of the family's 1533-position model. Lineage: Bacteria; Pseudomonadati; Pseudomonadota; Gammaproteobacteria; Pseudomonadales; Pseudomonadaceae. The record is from RNAcentral.
UUCGCGGAACAUUGACGACCCGUGCUGGCUAAAGGUCGUGUCGUCAGACUCGUGUCGUGAGAUGUGGGGUUAACGUCCCCGNUAACCGAGGCUUCAACCCUUGUUCNGUUAGUUACCAUGCGACGUUAUGGUGGUGCACUCUAGAGGAGACUGCCGGUAACAACACCGGAGUGAAGGUGGGGAUGACGUCGAGUCGAUCAUGGCCCUUACGGCCUGAGGCGUACACACGUGCUACGAAUGGUCGGUACAAAGGGUUGCCACAGCGCGCGAGGUGGACGCUAAGGGCCACAUACACAACCGAUCGUAAGUCCGGAUACGCAUCUGCAACUCGAGCUGCGUGAAUGUCGCGAAUCGCUAGUAAUCGCGAAUCAGAAUGUCGCGGU